UCCUCGUUAGUAUAGUGGAUAGUAUCUCUGCCUACCAUGUGGAAGACUGGGGUUUGAUUCCUUGAUGAGGAG
Molecule: transfer RNA, 72 nt
Filed under: Pangasianodon gigas (Mekong giant catfish)
Lineage: Eukaryota; Metazoa; Chordata; Actinopteri; Siluriformes; Pangasiidae
Description: tRNA-Gly
Rfam family: tRNA
About the family: Transfer RNA (tRNA) molecules are approximately 80 nucleotides in length. Their secondary structure includes four short double-helical elements and three loops (D, anti-codon, and T loops). Further hydrogen bonds mediate the characteristic L-shaped molecular structure. tRNAs have two regions of fundamental functional importance: the anti-codon, which is responsible for specific mRNA codon recognition, and the 3' end, to which the tRNAs corresponding amino acid is attached (by aminoacyl-tRNA synthetases). tRNAs cope with the degeneracy of the genetic code in two manners: having more than one tRNA (with a specific anti-codon) for a particular amino acid; and 'wobble' base-pairing, i.e. permitting non-standard base-pairing at the 3rd anti-codon position.
Source: RNAcentral